This 497-nucleotide ribosomal RNA is filed under the name uncultured bacterium. RNAcentral's name for it is "partial 16S ribosomal RNA". It matches the Rfam family "Bacterial small subunit ribosomal RNA", at positions 28 to 507 of the family's 1533-position model. The record is from RNAcentral.
GAUGAACGCUGGCGGCGUGCCUAAUACAUGCAAGUCGAGCGAACGGACGAGAAGCUUGCUUUUCUGAUGUUAGCGGCGGACGGGCGAGUAACACGUGGAUAACCUACCUAUAAGACUGGGAUAACUUCGGGAAACCGGAGCUAAUACCGGAUAAUAUUUUGAACCGCAUGGUUCAAAAGUGAAAGACGGUCUUGCUGUCACUUAUAGAUGGAUCCGCGCUGCAUUAGCUAGUUGGUAAGGUAACGGCUUACCAAGGCAACGAUGCAUAGCCGACCUGAGAGGGUGAUCGGCCACACUGGAACUGAGACGCGGUCCAGACUCCUACGGGAGGCAGCAGUAGGGAAUCUUCCGCAAUGGGCGAAAGCCUGACGGAGCAACGCCGCGUGAGUGAUGAAGGUCUUCGGAUCGUAAAACUCUGUUAUUAGGGAAGAACAUAUGUGUAAGUAACUGUGCACAUCUUGACGGUACCUAAUCAGAAAGCCACGGCUAACUACGUG